Molecule: long non-coding RNA, 311 nt
Organism: Octodon degus (degu)
Lineage: Eukaryota; Metazoa; Chordata; Mammalia; Rodentia; Octodontidae
Exons: 3
Source: RefSeq, a predicted model, not a curated record
UUUAAAGACAAGGCCUGCCUGGCUCUAUCUAUAGACCCAAAGCUAUUUGACACUGUGUAGCCACUGUCUCUUGAACUUUUUUACAUUGACAGGAUUACAUCUAUACAUGAAUGAUAUAUCUCAAUUACAGUGAAAACAAGAUCACAAUGACUGGAAUGAAGGUCAGGGUUGGAGAAGACAAAGAGACCUGUGCCAAUGUCCAGCAACAGGCUGGGGUUUUUCUUUUAGUCAUGAUUACUCAGGGCUCCUCCAUGGAGAUAACAGGUAGAGGUAACAAUCCAGCCAGAGGGAGGAGGCAGGCCCAGUGCUGU